GACGGAGGGCGCAAACGUUGUUCGGAAUCACUGGGCGUAAAGGGCGCGUAGGCGGGUCGGUAAGUCAGACGUGAAAUCCCGGGGCUCAACUCCGGGCCUGCGUUUGAAACUGUCGACCUAGAGUGCAGGAGAGGAAGGCGGAAUUCCAGGUGUAGCGGUGGAAUGCGUAGAUAUCUGGAAGAACACCAGUGGCGAAGGCGGCCUUCUGGACUGACACUGACGCUGAGGCGCGAAAGCUAGGGGAGCAAACAGG
This 253-nucleotide ribosomal RNA is filed under the name uncultured bacterium. RNAcentral describes it as "partial 16S ribosomal RNA". It matches the Rfam family "Bacterial small subunit ribosomal RNA", at positions 524 to 776 of the family's 1533-position model. The record is from RNAcentral.